AGGCUUCCGGUGACUGUAGGAUAUGGCAAGGU
This 32-nucleotide non-coding RNA is filed under the name Rattus norvegicus (Norway rat). Lineage: Eukaryota; Metazoa; Chordata; Mammalia; Rodentia; Muridae. The record is from RNAcentral.